RNAcentral lists this transfer RNA (71 nucleotides) under Bacteroidota bacterium. Its description in RNAcentral is "Bacteroidetes bacterium (grounwater metagenome) tRNA-Ala". It matches the Rfam family "tRNA". From Rfam's summary of the family: Transfer RNA (tRNA) molecules are approximately 80 nucleotides in length. Their secondary structure includes four short double-helical elements and three loops (D, anti-codon, and T loops). The record is from RNAcentral. Lineage: Bacteria; Pseudomonadati; Bacteroidota.
GGGGCGUUAGGUAAACGGGAUACUCUUAUCCUUGCACGAUAAAUUUGUGAGUUCGAUUCUCACACGCUCCA